Molecule: ribosomal RNA, 253 nt
Filed under: uncultured bacterium
Lineage: Bacteria
Description: partial 16S ribosomal RNA
Rfam family: Bacterial small subunit ribosomal RNA
Source: RNAcentral
UACGGAGGGUGCGAGCGUUAAUCGGAAUUACUGGGCGUAAAGCGCACGUAGGUGGUCAGGCAAGUCGGGUGUGAAAGCCCUGCGCUCAACCUGGGAAUUGCAUUCGAAACUAUCUGACUCGAGUAUGGGAGAGGGAAGCGGAAUUUCCGGUGUAGCGGUGAAAUGCGUAGAUAUCGGAAGGAACACCAGUGGCGAAGGCGGCUUCCUGGACUAAUACUGACACUGAGGUGCGAAAGCGUGGGGAGCAAACAGG